Non-coding RNA from Solanum tuberosum (potato), 82 nucleotides. NCBI's taxonomy places the organism in Eukaryota, Viridiplantae, Streptophyta, Magnoliopsida, Solanales, Solanaceae. The record is from RefSeq and is marked provisional.
UGAAGCUGCCAGCAUGAUCUAAACUUCCCUUUUUAGUUCAAAUAUGAUAUGAGGAAAGAUCAGAUCAUGUGGCAGCCUCACC